This is a microRNA precursor of Xenopus tropicalis (tropical clawed frog), 101 nucleotides long. Ensembl annotates it as xtr-mir-137-3. Its record names the gene xtr-mir-137-1. Lineage: Eukaryota; Metazoa; Chordata; Amphibia; Anura; Pipidae. The record is from Ensembl.
GCUCUGUGGCUCUCUUCGGUGACGGGUAUUCUUGGGUGGAUAAUACGGAUUACGUUGUUAUUGCUUAAGAAUACGCGUAGUUGAGGAGAGUAUCUUCAGCA